UUAAAUUCUGGUAUUGUUAGGGAGAUGGUUGAGUAUGUGGAAUCUGCCGAAGAGGUUCCCUUUUCUCAACCUCUUCCACAUUUUCCGGUGGUAAAGAAUCAGAGAAUGAUACCCAGUUUUUCACAAAUUGGUGAAACACCUUUAUUUAAGCACGUACCGCCGUGGUUGCCUCAUCUGAGAAUGAUACCCAGUUUUUCACAAAUUGGUGAAACACCUUUAUUUAAGCACGUACCGCCGUGGUUGCCUGCAUUUCCUGAUCCCCAUACUUAUAUACGGACCCCUACGUGGAAUGAGAGGGCAUCAGACCCUCGAGCUGAUAAAAUUGAAUUAGCAAGGCAGCGAAGGAAGGCGGA
RNAcentral lists this long non-coding RNA (353 nucleotides) under Nicotiana benthamiana. Its description in RNAcentral is "long non-coding RNA (NBEN_LNC004152)". The record is from RNAcentral. Lineage: Eukaryota; Viridiplantae; Streptophyta; Magnoliopsida; Solanales; Solanaceae.